Molecule: ribosomal RNA, 488 nt
Filed under: uncultured bacterium
Lineage: Bacteria
Description: partial 16S ribosomal RNA
Rfam family: Bacterial small subunit ribosomal RNA
Source: RNAcentral
GACGAACGCUGGCGGCGUGCUUAACACAUGCAAGUCGAACGCGCCUGUCCUCUGGGUUUCUGGGGGGUGGGUGAGUGGCGAACGGGUGAGUAACACGUGAGUAACCUGCCCCCUUCUUCGGGAUAACGGUCUGAAAGGGCUGCUAAUACCGGGUAUUCACUGGUCUCCGCAUGGGGUCUGGUGGAAAGGUUUUUUUCUGGUGGGGGAUGGGCUCGCGGCCUAUCAGCUUGUUGGUGGGGUGAUGGCCCACCAAGGCUUUGACGGGUAGCCGGCCUGAGAGGGUGACCGGUGACAUUGGGACUGAGAUACGGCCCAGACUCCUACGGGAGGCAGCAGUGGGGAAUAAUGCACAAUGGGCGCAAGCCUGAUGCAGCGACGCCGCGUGAGGGAUGGAGGCCUUCGGGUUGUGAACCUCUUUCGCCCGUGGUCAAGCCGCGACGUGGGUCGUGGUGAGGGUAGUGGGUAAAGAAGCGCCGGCUAACUACGUG